This 228-nucleotide ribosomal RNA is filed under the name Staphylococcus aureus. Its description in RNAcentral is "partial 23S ribosomal RNA". It matches the Rfam family "Bacterial large subunit ribosomal RNA", at positions 1666 to 1877 of the family's 2925-position model. The record is from RNAcentral. Lineage: Bacteria; Bacillati; Bacillota; Bacilli; Caryophanales; Staphylococcaceae.
GUCAGGUAGAGAAUACCAAGGCGCUUGAGAGAACUCGGGUGAAGGAACUAGGCAAAAUGGUGCCGUAACUUCGGGAGAAGGCACGCUGAUAUGUAGGUGAAGCCCCUGCGGGUGGAGCUGAAAUCAGUCGAAGAUACCAGCUGGCUGCAACUGUUUAUUAAAAACACAGCACUGUGCAAACACGAAAGUGGACGUAUACGGUGUGACGCCUGCCCGGUGCCGGAAGGU